Molecule: ribosomal RNA, 253 nt
Filed under: uncultured bacterium
Lineage: Bacteria
Description: partial 16S ribosomal RNA
Rfam family: Bacterial small subunit ribosomal RNA
Source: RNAcentral
UACAGAGGGUGCAAGCGUUAAUCGGAAUUACUGGGCGUAAAGCGUGCGCAGGCGGUCUGUUAAGACAGAUGUGAAAUCCCCGGGCUUAACCUGGGAACUGCAUUUGUGACUGGCAGGCUAGAGUAUGGCAGAGGGGGGUAGAAUUCCACGUGUAGCAGUGAAAUGCGUAGAGAUGUGGAGGAAUACCGAUGGCGAAGGCAGCCCCCUGGGCCAAUACUGACGCUCAUGCACGAAAGCGUGGGGAGCAAACAGG